Molecule: ribosomal RNA, 468 nt
Filed under: uncultured bacterium
Lineage: Bacteria
Description: partial 16S ribosomal RNA
Rfam family: Bacterial small subunit ribosomal RNA
Source: RNAcentral
GACGAACGCUGGCGGCGUGCUUAACACAUGCAAGUCGAACGGAAAGGCCCUUCUUUUUUGGGGUGCUCGAGUGGCGAACGGGUGAGUAACACGUGAUUAACCUGCCCUUGACUUUGGGAUAACUUCAGGAAACUGGGGCUAAUACUGGAUAGGAGCUCCUUCUGCAUGGUGGGGGUUGGAAAGUUUCGGCGGUUGGGGAUGGACUCUCGGCUUAUCAGCUUGUUGGUGGGGUAGUGGCUUACCAAGGCUUUGACGGGUAGCCGGCCUGAGAGGGUGACCGGCCACAUUGGGACUGAGAUACGGCCCAGACUCCUGCGGGAGGCAGAAGUGGGGAAUAUUGAACAAUGGGCGGAAGCCUGAUGCAGCAACGCAGCGUGCGGGAUGACGGCCUUCGGGUUGUAAACCGCUUUCGCCUGUGACGAAGCGUGAGUGACGGUAAUGGGUAAAGAAGCACCGGCUAACUACGUG